CUCAGGGAAUCAUUUAUUUAGGGUAAAAAUCUCAGUUACUCACAUUGAUUCAGAUACCAAGAAACAGUGUCAGUAUUUAAGCAAUGUUUCAAUCCCACAACCCCCUACCCCAAAGAAAAGAGCUAAAUCAGUUUUUCACAGUUCAGUUUGCAUGUAAUUAUUUUGAUUGAGUUUUUACAUAAUUUUAAAAAUUACAAAACAUAAAAAAAGCAAAGUGCUUUUGGGGACAAGGCAGUUCAAUGCAGAACACUUGGGAAUUUAAGCACACAAUAUACAUAUUAAAUAUAUUUGACAGUUUAGUUACAGAUUGACAAACACAAUGGGAAAGUAGACAAUUCAAAGCCUUGAACAGAUUAAACUCCACAUUCUGCAACUAGAAAAACGAUAAGCUACUGAAUAUUAGCAUAGCACAUUAGAAUACAUAUUAAAGUAUACUCCCCCUUGGAAAAUGGCAGUGAUUAUACAUUGGUGCUGUCACAGAGCACUUGUGGAUACCUUCUGUCCAGCAUCAACCCUGUCCACUGUGAAUUCUAUUUUGUUAUCACCACCGUCUUUCUUGGGCCUGCUCUUCUGAGUUUUCCUGUUUCAACAGUUUCAGGCUCUACCCAUACCUGAUGCCAUCCAUCCAGGAUGCCCACUGUUAAGGUUGGGGGGAGCAAGAGAAUCUGGAAGAAUCUCUUACCUUUCUAAAAUAAGAAAAGGGAUUUAAUUUGAAGGUUGGAGAUGUGACUGUGUACCAGACUGUUUAUCACAUUUUAGGCAACAUGCUUUAUCAGACUGAAAUUGAGAAAGGACCCACAGAGCUAGCUGGCUUCCUUCUUGUUUUAAAAUACCACUGGAAGGCUGAUGGCAAGGAAAGGUCCUUUGUAAGAGGAACCGUGCAGCUGAGCUUUGAUCACAUGAGCUGCAAUUCUUAUGGAUCAGGAAUCCUUCGAGCUGGUAUCAAAUCCAAGUUGUAAGGGAAACUUCCGCCAAGGCCCCCGAGUCUGUGGCUGUCAGGGAGUUACUGUUAGCAAGCGUGUGGACCAAUUAAUACAACACUAAAGGCGGCAAGAACAGCAAACUUGUCUGUCCUUGAAAUGCAAACAUCAUCUCAACUUGACUUCAUUCAUCCUGGUCAAAAGGAAAAGGCACAUUGACUUUCUUCAACACUAGGGAAACUCAAAAUGUUUAUUCAUGAACUCUCAUUUGCCUCCCUUUAGCUUACACCACGUACACGUACACUUUAACAACAGAAGAGUGAGUUUUCGAACUUGAACUAUAGAUACUGGCAUAGCAGGCUGGGUGUAUUUCUGAAGCACUGGUAUAUAUCCAUAUAGACAGAUAGCUAUUCCUCCACAAUCCCGAUGUCUGCUCAGAUCUGAGAGGCAGGCACCCACUGCCUCCUCUUCCUCCCUGAAGGCUCUUCGUACACAGCGGUGUCAGAGGCCAGGCCGCCUCGUCAAGGUGAAAGUGGCCAGGGUUCCCUUCUUCUUUACAAAUACUGUGCUGGGUCUCACUGGGUGGCCUUGUGAGAUCGGACCAGAUCACUUUUAGACAAAAAGAGUCAAAGAGAACUUGGGUUUCCAGAGGAAAAAAAGUGUUGCCCCCUAUAAAUCAUAGUCUCAGUGGAGUAGUGUCUUCCUAAAGAGGUAGAAAUAAUAGGGGGUGUGUGUUGCAGAUGCCCACAUUCAAUAAUACUGAGCACUGUGUCUGUAAGGGCUUAAAAUGGACUGACUCCACUCAGCUCUCUGAUUUUUUCAUAAGUAAGCCAGAACACCAAUGACCAAGGGGUCUGAAAGAUUAACCAAAGAAGUUAGUGCAUAUUUCAAAGCAAUGAUCAAUCAUCUACAUAUAUGCAUUUAUAUCAUUGAGUGACAAAGUCAUUUUGAAUCCACUGAAGCCCAAAACAAAUAUUUUUUCUUUUACCUUUGUACUUUAUAAUUUAAAAAGUGUCUUAAUGUCUCAUUUAUCAUGGAUUUCUCUAAAGGACAGUCUACAAAAGAAAGGAAAAGUAAGAAUAGCCCUACUUUACAGAUGGGCACUGAGGCUUAGCUGUCAAAUAUCUGCUGACAUGGGAUAGAGCUGAACCAGUGGUUCCUGUUCUCCAUCCCAGAGUGGUUUGCACUGGACCAUCCUGCUUAAAGAGAAAAGAAGAAGGAAGAAAUGAAUCCUAACUUUACCAUUCGCAGCCAAGAUGGUAAAAAGCCUUUGUACAGACUCAUGAACCCUUCACCCUGAACAGCCUGGACCAAGCAGUCGGUGGAGGAUUUGUACAAGAGCCCCCUACAGAGGAAACCAGAGAGCUUUGUUAAGUUGUUUCCAUGUAAGCACAGG
Long non-coding RNA from Heterocephalus glaber (naked mole-rat), 2316 nucleotides. The record is from Ensembl. Lineage: Eukaryota; Metazoa; Chordata; Mammalia; Rodentia; Bathyergidae.